This 433-nucleotide ribosomal RNA is filed under the name Cymatia bonsdorffii. RNAcentral's name for it is "partial large subunit ribosomal RNA". Lineage: Eukaryota; Metazoa; Arthropoda; Insecta; Hemiptera; Corixidae. The record is from RNAcentral.
GUCCUUUUGUUAUUUAUUUAAGGUCUAACCUGCCCACUGAAUUUUUAAUGGCCGCGGUAUUUUGACCGUGCAAAGGUAGCAUAAUAAUUUGUCUUUUAAUUGAAGGCUUGUAUGAAUGGUUGGACGAAAAUAUAACUUUCUUUAUUUAAUAAUUAUGAAUUUAAUUUUUUAGUCAAAAAGCUUAAAUUUAAUUAUAGGACGAGAAGACCCUAUAGAACUUUAUAAUUUAUUUUUUAAUUUUUAUUUGGUUAAUUAAUUUAUAUUAUUUAAUUUAUUAUUUUGUUGGGGCGACAAUAAAAUUUUAAUAACUUUUAUUAAUUUAAUCAUUGAUUUAUGUUUUUAUGAUCCUAUAUUAUAGAUUAUUAGAUUAAGUUACCUUAGGGAUAACAGCGUUAUUUUUCUGGAGAGUUCAUAUCGAUAGAAGAGUUUGCGA